UUUCCGUAGGUGAACCUGCGGAAGGAUCAUUAUUGAAUGAACUUGGCGUGGUUGUCGCUGGCCCUCUCGGGGGUAUGUGCACGCCCGUCAUCUUUAUCUUUCCACCUGUGCACACUUUGUAGACUUGAAUAGUAUUUUCUGAGGCAACUCAGUCGGGAGGAUUGCUGGUUUUUAUCAGCUCUCCUUGCAUUAUUCAAGCCUAUGUUUUUCAUAUACCCCAAAAAUGUAACAGAAUGUAUCAUUGGGCCUUGUGCCUAUAAACUAUAUACAACUUUCAGCAACGGAUCUCUUGGCUCUC
This 298-nucleotide unclassified non-coding RNA is filed under the name plant metagenome. Its description in RNAcentral is "partial contains small subunit ribosomal RNA, internal transcribed spacer 1, and 5.8S ribosomal RNA". The record is from RNAcentral.